UUAAUCAAAAUGGAUUGUAAGACAGCGCUGAUACUUCUGACUCUCUGCUGUGCAGGUGUUGAUGGUCAGACUCUUACAGAGUCUGAACCAGCAGUUAAAAGACCAGGAGAUUCACACAGGCUGACCUGUACAGCCUCUGGAUUCACAUUCAGCAGCUACCAUAUGGGCUGGGUCAGACAGGCCCCUGGAAAAGGACUUGAGUGGAUUGCUUACAUUUACACUGAUAGUAGUGGCAUCUUCUACUCUCAGUCAGUCAGAGGCCGGUUCACCAUCUCCAGAGACAACAGCAGACAGCAGCUGUAUCUGCAGAUGAACAGCCUGAAGACUGAAGAUUCUGCUGUUUAUUAUUGUGCUCGAGAGCCACAGUGACUGGAGCUGUUUCAGCUGCUGUACAAAAUCCUUCAUGUGUCAGAAGAAAUAAGAAAUACUGAAUUUCUAUAGGACAAUAUGCAUAGAAGUUGGAAUAAAAACAUUU
Haplochromis burtoni (Burton's mouthbrooder) is the source of this 475-nucleotide non-coding RNA. NCBI's taxonomy places the organism in Eukaryota, Metazoa, Chordata, Actinopteri, Cichliformes, Cichlidae. The record is from the annotation of a RefSeq genome assembly.